This is a long non-coding RNA of Corvus hawaiiensis (hawaiian crow), 111 nucleotides long. RefSeq lists it as uncharacterized. The record is from RefSeq and is a predicted model, not a curated record. The transcript is spliced from 3 exons. Lineage: Eukaryota; Metazoa; Chordata; Aves; Passeriformes; Corvidae.
CAGCAAUUACUGACAUGACAAGAGGACACAGUCUUAAGCUGUGCCAGGGGGAGUAUGAGGCUGGACAUUAGGAGAAAGUUCUUCACAGAAAGGGUGAUUAGAUACUGGAAU